This 684-nucleotide long non-coding RNA is filed under the name Panax ginseng (ginseng). RNAcentral describes it as "long non-coding RNA (PGIN_LNC005117)". Lineage: Eukaryota; Viridiplantae; Streptophyta; Magnoliopsida; Apiales; Araliaceae. The record is from RNAcentral.
AACAAUCUCAUCCAUCGAUCUUCUUCUUCUCCCCCUACCUUCACCGUUCUCACCUCCAUGAACACCAUCACCUUCGACUACCAUCAUCGAUCAUCUACAAUAUAAAAGUUAUUUUGCCUCUAACACCGAUCAACCACCAACUAGCUACCAGCUAACUGUUAGUAUAAAAGUCGUUCCACCAAAGUCACAUAACUGCCCAAAACGCAAGUGUAAUUACAUUGAAUCUUCAACAAAAAUCAAAAGUUGAUUUCAAAUCCCCCAUGAAUAUAUCCUCCAAAACUUGAUUUCACUAUUUCUGAAAAAACUCGUGAAAUUAUUUUUACAAUUACAAAACUCACUUUUGAUUUUGGUCUAUAAACAGAGGAGAGAAAAUUAUUGGUGAUAGGUGAUGAGAUGUCCAUGGGACCAUGAUGAAAGACAGUGAGGAACUCAAAGGUUUAGAAAGAGAGUUUUUUGCUUAGAGAGAGUAACAUGGAAGAACAAGAUGAAAAUGAAAGGCCUCAAUCUUGUCCAAGUAUAGAGAUUCAAUAAUCCCAAAAUUAUUUUUAAAGGACUAAGUUCAUCUUCGGAUCUUGUCGGCGGAGGACAGUCGGCGGCAGGUUUAUAAAUGGGAGUAAGAAAAUAGUGGUGUUGUUGGAAUUGUGGGGGAGAACAGUCGGCGAAGGGCGGAGGAGAAGAAAGGAA